AAGCGGAGGAGCAUGUGGUUUAAUUCGAUGAUACGCGAGGAACCUUACCUGGGCUCGAACGUAAGAUGACUGUAGGUGAAAGCUUACAUCUCUUCGGAGCAGUUUUACGAGGUGCUGCAUGGUUGUCGUCAGCUCGUGCCGUGAGGUGUCGGGUUAAGUCCCAUAACGAGCGCAACCCCUACCUUUAGUUGCCAUCAGGUUAAGCUGGGGACUCUAAAGGAACUGCCUACGCAAGUAGUGAGGAAGGCGGGGAUGACGUCAAAUCAGCACGGCCCUUACGUCCAGGGCUACACACGUGCUACAAUGGCCGAUACAGAGGGCAGCUACCUGGUGACAGGAUGCAAAUCUCCAAAGUCGGUCUCAGUUCGGAUCGGAGUCUGCAACCCGACUCCGUGAAGUUGGAUUCGCUAGUAAUCGCGCAUCAGCCAUGGCGCGGUGAAUACGUUCCCGGGCCUU
Molecule: ribosomal RNA, 456 nt
Filed under: uncultured Sphingobacteriales bacterium
Lineage: Bacteria; Pseudomonadati; Bacteroidota; Sphingobacteriia; Sphingobacteriales
Description: bacterial SSU rRNA
Rfam family: Bacterial small subunit ribosomal RNA
Source: RNAcentral